RNAcentral lists this unclassified non-coding RNA (254 nucleotides) under uncultured fungus. Its description in RNAcentral is "partial contains 5.8S rRNA and ITS2". Lineage: Eukaryota; Fungi. The record is from RNAcentral.
AACGCACUUGGCACCUGGAGAUGAUCCAGGUAUACCUGUUUGAGCAGAAUAUCUAAAUUCAUUUGAGUCUCACAUAUGAUGUGUGACUUGGAAAGAGUCUGAGUGGGACGUGCAACCAGCGCAUGUUCUGUGUGAUCGCAAGGCCGUGGUCUUGAUUCACAGAACAUGUAUUGUAAUUGUACGGUCAAUCCUGCCCACCACACUACUCUUGUACAUUCUCUCUCAAAUCAGGCAAGAUUACCCGCUGAACUUAA